This is a non-coding RNA of Aegilops tauschii subsp. strangulata, 2186 nucleotides long. NCBI's taxonomy places the organism in Eukaryota, Viridiplantae, Streptophyta, Magnoliopsida, Poales, Poaceae. The record is from RefSeq and is a predicted model, not a curated record.
GUACGACGUGUGGCCUAGACGCCAAGGGGAAAGUACGGCGCGUCGUGCGGCCCGUCCUCGCACCGUCGCAGGAGCGCAUCGUGCGGCCCGUCGUGGGCAGCCUCGAAAAUCACAGCAACCACGUCUCCCUCCCUGGUCCCUCCCUUGUCCGCCGCCGCACCCCCGUUCUUCUCCUGCUCUCUCUCUCUCUCUCUUCUGCGACGUUCCUCCUUCGCGCGCCUCGCCCCGUCUUCCAUCCUCAUGUUCUUCUUCAACACCCCCUCCUCGGCUAGAUGGCGCCUCUGGGGGUGAAGGAGCAGGGGAGGGCCAAGAGGCCAGCGGUGUGGGGUGGAGCAGCGAGGCCGGCGACCCAGGCGGCGGACGCCUCACGGGGUGGAGGAGAGGCUGGCGACAGGGAAGGAGCAGAAUCCUCAUGGAGCGGCAGGGAAGGUGAAGUCCCGACGGCUGAAGAUGGUGCGCACGGGAGGAGCUCGGAUGAUGUCAAGGACGUUUAGCAGGCCUGACUUAAGAUCGAACCCCUGACGGAGUUUAAGCAUGGUCCGGCCGCUUGGUGCGUUUCUAUCUUACCUGUUGUCAUCAAACUGGUGCCACAAAUCCAAUGGAUUUUGUUUCUGUUAAAUCAUAUUACGUCCAGAAAUGUGAGUUUAUAUCCGCUGCAUCUUUAGGGAAGUCUUUUUUUUUACGCUGCAAAUAAUGUGUGUGCUUAUCCCAUUAACUUGAGUGUGUUAUUACAAAUUGCAGGAGCAUGAAUGGUCCACAGCUCAGCUGGCUGUUGUUUCUGUAAGAAAUUACUUUCUUCAUUAUGCAUUGCUCAUGAUUAUUCUGUCUUGAAUAAACAUAUGGUGUGGCACUUUUCGUAUAAUGAUUUUAUAUCUUUCUGGUCCCAAAUCAUGCCGUUGAUUUACUUUCGUGUUAUUUCAUUACUUCCGAUCAUUUUGGCUCUGAAAAGCAAUAGUAUAGUAUAUCCAUGGAGUAUAAUAGGUUUGUUUGUUUGUUCUAUCAAGCCAGUUUUAUUCCAUUUGCAUGAGCAUAUACCAAACUUUUUUCAUGCUCGCUCGUGAACAAGAUGAGAGCACUGGUUAUGUAUUUCCAAACAAAGCUUUGAUUGAGAUAGGUAUUACCGAUUUCUUUGGAUUGCUAUGCUGCAAAACUUGAUGUAUUGUCUUGGCUAACUCUCCUUUUUUUAAUUCAAAAACAAAGAAGAUUCCUACAACUACUGCAGAUUUGCAAAGAAUCGUGCAAUCAGAAUAUCCAUGUAUCAAAAGCAAAAAAGAUGCCUACAACUACUAUACAUGAAUGAUGAUCUAUAUUGCUGCCACAGAGAAUAUAUAUCGUAGUGCUCUCAAUAUAAAUUAAAAUGUUACUAGGGUCCUUGGUUAAUGCAUUGUUUUUUCCUUUCCCAUCCAGAAUGAUAUUUGAAGAUACGGAAUUAGUAUGAGAUCGCUUUAGGGGGUUUAAACACUUGGAUAAGAUUAAACACAUGUUGUACCGAAUUGGCAGUCCUUCAUCCAAAUUUUCUUGAUAAUGGUACACCAUUUGGCGAUGGGUUCUCUAAAAAAAUUAAAAUUCCACUAGAUAUCAUUUAGAUAUAAUGGAAAAGGGAUCAGAAAUGCGGUUUGUAUGACCGAAUACAUCCUUAACAUAUGGUUGUUCAUUAUACUCUGGUAGUGAGAUCGGUUAGUAAUGUUACACAUAAUAUAUAUUUUCCAGUUGUGUCCCUCACUCUCUUAAGCAUGUUUCUGUUGUAUACUGGUUAGUUGUCACAAUGCAUGUAUUUGAGGCUGUCGUCGGGUCUCCACUGUUGUACAUUUGUCUUGCCACUUUGUUGUUCAAAUUAUUUUUAGGAAACUAUUUGAACUCUUCUGAAGGCCAUUUGUUCUUAAUGUUUCUUUUCUUUAUAAGUAUCUCCAUAAUGGCACUUUCCACCUGGAAAAAGCAUCAAGGUCAGCGAUCCAGUUUUUGUUCUAUAGGCAUCUCUUCUUUGAAUGAGGCAUGGCAGGAGAUGAUGUAUCUGUUUUAUGUGUGUCAGAAGAGGCAUCCGGUUGCUUGACUUUGUACGCACGUUCUGGUUCUUUAAUCUUAGUUGUACAACCUAUAACUAUCCAAUUUAUUCUUUGUAUACCAACUCAAAGCUGUGAAUUGAUGACCACACCUGCUAAGACAAUCUUGAAAUAUUUUGUUGGGUC